UACGUAGGGGGCAAGCGUUGUCCGGAUUUAUUGGGCGUAAAGAGCGUGUAGGCGGCCAGGUAGGUCUGCUGUGAAAACUCGAGGCUUAACCUCGAGAUGUCAUCGGAAACCAUUUGGCUAGAGUCCGGAAGAGGAAAGUGGAAUUCCUGGUGUAGCGGUGAAAUGCGCAGAUAUCAGGAAGAACACCAAUGGCGAAAGCAGCUUUCUGGGACGGUACUGACGCUGAGACGCGAAAGCGUGGGGAGCGAACAGG
Molecule: ribosomal RNA, 253 nt
Filed under: uncultured bacterium
Lineage: Bacteria
Description: partial 16S ribosomal RNA
Rfam family: Bacterial small subunit ribosomal RNA
Source: RNAcentral